GCUGUUGUUGUUUCACAGUUAGCCCUGUAUGUUUUAAGGUUUGAUCCCAAUUCCUGGGCCUAGGUUUGGUUUGGUUUGUUUGUGUGUGUUUGUGUGUGUUUUCCUCCUCACUUUCCUGUUACCUCAGCAUCAAAUCUAUAACCAUCACAUGGUCAACUAAUUCUCUUGUAAACUUUCCUUUAUCUCUCAUUGCUUAUAUACCAUGAUACCUGUAAUGAACAUUACAGUGGAGUCUGUGUGGCUG
This 244-nucleotide long non-coding RNA is filed under the name Mus musculus (house mouse). RNAcentral's name for it is "long non-coding RNA chr2:151325490-151325734". The record is from RNAcentral. Lineage: Eukaryota; Metazoa; Chordata; Mammalia; Rodentia; Muridae.